This 953-nucleotide long non-coding RNA is filed under the name Ananas comosus (pineapple). Its description in RNAcentral is "long non-coding RNA (ACOM_LNC031656)". The record is from RNAcentral. Lineage: Eukaryota; Viridiplantae; Streptophyta; Magnoliopsida; Poales; Bromeliaceae.
UUAAAAUAGCUUCAGUAAAUUUAUAUUUAAAGAAAUGACUCUUUUUCUGCCACACGAGCGUCACGUUGGAUAGCGAAGGGCCGUGUUAAGUUGAAUACAGUGGUGCACUCACUCGCCGUGUUUAAGAGCAGUAGCUGGAUUACCAUAUUCAUAUCAAUCCUAAUCGCUACGUUUCGACUUAGGAAGGAUGGGAAUUAUUAGGGUGCGUUUGGUUCGCACUAUAAAAGAUUACUAGCAAUAAAAAGAUAUCCGAAAAUCUUAUUCCUAUUCAUCCUAUUACUAAGAAUGUGGCAUUGCUGUGUUUGGUUCGCACAGUUAUAUUAUUUAGUCAUGUUAUUUAAGUUUACAAAAAAUAUACAAUUAAUUUAUUUAUUUCUUAAAUUAAUUUUAGAUAAUGCCACCAAAACUUUCAACAUCUUUUUAGAAAAAGGGAGAGAGAGAACAUAGGUUAGAAAGUGGAGAAUAAUUAAAGAAAUAGGAAGAGAAAUAGAGUCGAGAUUAGAGGGAGUGAGAGAGUUGAGAUUUUAGAAAAAGAGGGGGAGAUGAGCUUAGUUUAGAGAGAGAAAAAGAGUUGAAGUUUAAAGAGAAAAAAAAAAAGUUUAGAGAGAGAUACGAGGUUAGAGUGUAAAGAAAAAUAAUACCAACUAGCCGGCAGGUAGGGAGAAAGAAAAAGAUUAGACAUAUUAUGAUUAUCCCAAUUUAUUAAUAUGAUGAUACCCACCCUUCCUCAAGAGAAUGAGAUUAGUACUUUGGGAUGAAUCUAAUUCCCAAGUAAAUUAAAUAUCACCAACUAGAUUACUUAGUGCGUUUAGCCAAAUACCGUCAUAUUUUUUUAUUUCUAUUAAAUUAUUAGAAAUUUUAAAAAGAUAACACGAACCAAACGCACCCUUAAAGUAAUACGGUAAGUAGGUUGUUUAGUCAAAGAAGGUAAAAGAUAAAUAGAAUAAGAAAUG